This 919-nucleotide ribosomal RNA is filed under the name uncultured archaeon. Its description in RNAcentral is "bacterial SSU rRNA". It matches the Rfam family "Archaeal small subunit ribosomal RNA", at positions 1 to 922 of the family's 1478-position model. The record is from RNAcentral.
UUCCGGUUGACCCUGCCAGAGGCCAUUGCUAUCGGUGUCCGAUUUAGCCAUGCGAGUCGCACGGGUUCAGACCCGUGGCGAACGGCUCAGUAACACGUGGCCAAACUACCCUGUGGACCAGGACAACCUCGGGAAACUGAGGCUAAUCCUGGAUAGCACUCCCACGCUGGAAUGCCGGGAGUGUGAAAGGCUCCGGCGCCACAGGAUGUGGCUGCGGCCGAUUAGGUUGAUGGUGGGGUAACGGCCCACCAUGCCGAUAAUCGGUACGGGUAGUGAGAGCUAGAGCCCGGAGACGGACUCUGAGACACGAGUCCGGGCCCUACGGGGCGCAGCAGGCGCGAAACCUUUACACUGCACGACAGUGCGAUAAGGGGACACCGAGUGCGAGGUCAUAGAGCCCUCGCUUUUCUGUACCGUAAGGUGGUACAGGAACAAGGGCUGGGCAAGACCGGUGCCAGCCGCCGCGGUAACACCGGCAGCCCAAGUGAUGGCCGAUAUUAUUGGGCCUAAAGCGUCCGUAGCUGGCCGCACAGGUCCGUCGGGAAAUCUGUUCGCUCAACGAACAGGCGUCCGGCGGAAACUGUGCGGCUUGGAACCGGGAGACCUGAGGGGUACGUCUGGGGUAGGAGUGAAAUCCUGUAAUCCUAGACGGACCACCGGUGGCGAAAGCGCCUCAGGAGAACGGAUCCGACAGUGAGGGACGAAAGCUAGGGUCUCGAACCGGAUUAGAUACCCGGGUAGUCCUAGCCGUAAACGAUGCUCGCUAGGUGUGGCGCUGGCUACGAGCCAGCGCUGUGCCGUAGGGAAGCCGUGAAGCGAGCCGCCUGGGAAGUACGUCCGCAAGGAUGAAACUUAAAGGAAUUGGCGGGGGAGCACUACAACCGGAGGAGCCUGCGGUUUAAUUGGACUCAACGCCGGG